RNAcentral lists this long non-coding RNA (360 nucleotides) under Homo sapiens (human). RNAcentral's name for it is "HSALNT0126194". The record is from RNAcentral. Lineage: Eukaryota; Metazoa; Chordata; Mammalia; Primates; Hominidae.
AAAUAGCUGGUUUGCUCAUGAGCGUAACCAUUCUUGCUUGAUUCUUACUUCUGCACCCAGAUCUUAAGUGCAAGUGAGCCCAAGAAUAUGGGCCCAUCCACACCUGCCCUCUAGGUGAUCUCACAAGCUCUUGGCUUCAGCCACCACCCAUAGACUGCCAACCUGCAGAUCUGCAUCUCAGUUUGUUCCUGACCCCUGUUAAUUCAUACUGCUCCCUCAUGACAGUCUCCACCUGGUGUCUCAUCACCUCCCACCUCAGUUCAAUUGAUGUCAAACCUGAUGUUUGCCUCUGCUCCCCACCUCAGAUUCUGCUCUCCUCUACCUCUCAGACCAAGUCAUAGCACCUCCACCUCCUAUGUA